ACGUACACUCCUACGGGAGGCAGCAGUGGGGAAUAUUGCAUAAUGGGCGCAAGCCUGAUGCAGCCAUGCCGCGUGUAUGAAGAAGGCCUUCGGGUUGUAAAGUACUUUCAGCGGGGAGGAAGGCGAUAAGGUUAAUAACCUUGUCGAUUGACGUUACCCGCAGAAGAAGCACCGGCUAACUCCGUGCCAGCAGCCGCGGUAAUACGGAGGGUGCAAGCGUUAAUCGGAAUUACUGGGCGUAAAGCGCACGCAGGCGGUCUGUCAAGUCGGAUGUGAAAUCCCCGGGCUCAACCUGGGAACUGCAUUCGAAACUGGCAGGCUAGAGUCUUGUAGAGGGGGGUAGAAUUCCAGGUGUAGCGGUGAAAUGCGUAGAGAUCUGGAGGAAUACCGGUGGCGAAGGCGGCCCCCUGGACAAAGACUGACGCUCAGGUGCGAAAGCGUGGGGAGCAAACAGGAUUUGAAACCCGGGUAGUCCCAUGA
Molecule: ribosomal RNA, 480 nt
Filed under: uncultured organism
Description: partial 16S ribosomal RNA
Rfam family: Bacterial small subunit ribosomal RNA
Source: RNAcentral